Long non-coding RNA from Cornus florida, 699 nucleotides. RefSeq lists it as uncharacterized. The transcript has 3 exons. The record is from RefSeq and is a predicted model, not a curated record. Lineage: Eukaryota; Viridiplantae; Streptophyta; Magnoliopsida; Cornales; Cornaceae.
AUUUUUUUUUUUACAAGUUUUGAUGGAAAGAGGGAAUUGUUAAGCAUAUGUCCAAAUUUUAAGGUCAAAAUAAUAAAUUUCAAAUGUUCUACUUAUGUGUGAUUUGUUCAAAUCUUAAUAAGGUUAGCGUAAUUUACCAAAACGUUUCAGUUUCAAUUUCAAUUUCAAUUACAACAUCAAGGGCUUUUGCAACGCGAUCCAAUAGCUGACGUAGUGUUGACAACUUGACAGACCUCUGUUCUGUUGAGAGCAGAAAACCAAACCCCAUCUGAAUAAACCCUCCCAAAAUCCAAUCUUUCAAAUAAUUGAAAUUAGGGUUCUUAUAAUUUUGUUACCCUCAAACUCAGUCGAUUUCUAAUCUCUUGGUUCAGUUUUGUUGGGAAUCAUGGGCAAUACAUCUUCAAUGCUUACUCAAUAUGACAUCGAGGAGGUCCAAGAACACUGUAAUAACACCUUUUCGCAGCAGGAGAUAGUGUCUCUCUAUGAGAGGUUCUGUCCGCUGGAUCGCAACGGUGGUGGCUUCAUUUCCGGCGAGGAGUUUUUAUCCCCGUCAAUCCUCUAUCUCAGAGAUUGUUGAGGAUGCUGGAUGGAUUGAAUUUCAAGGAAUUUGUGGCUUUCUUGUCUGCAUUAAGUUCUCGCGCAAGCUUGCAGCAAAAAGUAGAAUGAAAUUAUUCUUUCUAUUAUUGACCGGGAAAAAAA